RNAcentral lists this ribosomal RNA (253 nucleotides) under uncultured bacterium. RNAcentral's name for it is "partial 16S ribosomal RNA". It matches the Rfam family "Bacterial small subunit ribosomal RNA", at positions 524 to 776 of the family's 1533-position model. The record is from RNAcentral.
UACGAGAGGCCCAAACGUUAUUCGGAUUUACUGGGCGUAAAGGGCGCGUAGGCGGCGCGGUAAGUCACUUGUGAAAUCUCUGAGCUUAACUCAGAACGGCCAAGUGAUACUGCAGUGCUAGAGUGCGGAAGGGGCAAUCGGAAUUCUUGGUGUAGCGGUGAAAUGCGUAGAUAUCAAGAGGAACACCUGAGGUGAAGACGGGUUGCUAGGCUGACACUGACGCUGAGGCGCGAAAGCCAGGGGAGCAAACGGG